CUACGGGGCGCUCCAGUCGAGAAUCUUCCGCAAUGGGCGCAAGCCUGACGGAGCAAUGCCGCGUGAGGGAUGACGGCCCUAGGGUUGUAAACCUCUGUCAGAAGGGACGAAGAACGUGACGGUACCUUCAGAGGAAGCCAUGGCUAACUACGUGCCAGCAGCCGCGGUAAUACGUAGAUGGCGAGCGUUAUUCGGAUUUACUGGGCGUAAAGGGUCCGUAGGGGGUCUGCCAAGUCUGAUGUGAAAUCCUGCGGCUCAACCGCGGAACUGCAUUGGAAACUGGCGGACUAGAGUGUGCGAGGGGUGAGCGGAAUUCCUGGUGUAGCGGUGGAAUGCGUAGAUAUCAGGAAGAACACCGAUGGCGAAGGCGGCUCACUGGCGCAUCACUGACCCUGAGGGACGAAAGCGUGGGUAGCAAACAGGAUUAGAUACCCCUGUAGUC
Molecule: ribosomal RNA, 442 nt
Filed under: uncultured bacterium
Lineage: Bacteria
Description: partial 16S ribosomal RNA
Rfam family: Bacterial small subunit ribosomal RNA
Source: RNAcentral